UCUCGAUUGGUCUAGUGGUAAGGAUACCUGCUUGUCAUCGAUGUAUAUCAUCACCAAAGCGCAGGUGGCCGGGGUUCGAUUCCCCGAUCGAGAG
This 94-nucleotide transfer RNA is filed under the name Nemania serpens. RNAcentral's name for it is "tRNA-Asp". It matches the Rfam family "tRNA". Rfam says of the family: Transfer RNA (tRNA) molecules are approximately 80 nucleotides in length. The record is from RNAcentral. Lineage: Eukaryota; Fungi; Ascomycota; Sordariomycetes; Xylariales; Xylariaceae.